Molecule: ribosomal RNA, 492 nt
Filed under: uncultured bacterium
Lineage: Bacteria
Description: partial 16S ribosomal RNA
Rfam family: Bacterial small subunit ribosomal RNA
Source: RNAcentral
AGUGAACACUGGCGGUAGGCCUAACACAUGCAAGUCGAACGGCAGCACAGUAAGAGCUUGCUCUUACGGGUGGCGAGUGGCGGACGGGUGAGGAAUACAUCGGAAUCUACUUUUUCGUGGGGGAUAACGUAGGGAAACUUACGCUAAUACCGCAUACGACCUACGGGUGAAAGCAGGGGAUCUUCGGACCUUGCGCGAUUGAAUGAGCCGAUGUCGGAUUAGCUAGUUGGCGGGGUAAAGGCCCACCAAGGCGACGAUCCGUAGCUGGUCUGAGAGGAUGAUCAGCCACACUGGAACUGAGAAACGGUCCAGACUCCUACGGGAGGCAGCAGUGGGGAAUAUUGGACAAUGGGCGCAAGCCUGAUCCAGCCAUACCGCGUGGGUGAAGAAGGCCUUCGGGUUGUAAAGCCCUUUUGUUGGGAAAGAAAAGCAGCAGGUUAAUACCCCGCUGUUCUGACGGUACCCAAAGAAUAAGCACCGGCUAACUUCGUG